AAGUCGUAACAAGGUUUCCGUAGGUGAACCUGCGGAAGGAUCAUUACUGAAUUGUCAAACGGGUUGUUGCUGGCCCUCAUAGGGGCAUGUGCACGCUCUGUUUACACAUCCACUCACACCUGUGCACCCUCUGUAGUUCUAUGGUCUGGGGGACCCUGUCUUCCUUCUGUGGUUCUACUUCUUUACACACACACUGUAAUAAAGUUUUAUGGAAUGUACAUCGCGUCUAACGCAAUACAAUACAA
This 245-nucleotide unclassified non-coding RNA is filed under the name plant metagenome. RNAcentral describes it as "partial contains small subunit ribosomal RNA and internal transcribed spacer 1". The stretch from base 1 to 46 matches the Rfam family "Eukaryotic small subunit ribosomal RNA", at positions 1786 to 1831 of the family's 1831-position model. The record is from RNAcentral.